UCUUGAGAAGCAGAGUCAGUACUUGGGGAGAGAGGAGGAGCACAAAAUGCUGCACUGUAGGAAUGAGCAAAGCAUAUAAAAAGGAAAAAUACCUGGGUAGUUCAGUGCCUAUCUCAAGCAGUGACAAAAAGGUGUUUUCUAGAAAUAAAUGUAGGACAUAGGCAAAGAGGGUAUUCCAAGAAGAUGACCUGAUGUCCAAACUGUGCCAGUUGAUGAAAUGGCUCCUCCUAAGUGGAAAGGGGUGUUUUGAAGACAUGGCUACCAUACUGAAGUUGAAUUGUGGUUCCCAAAGAUAAUUAUCUUCUGUAAGGUACAGGGAAAUAACCUUAGCAUAGUCCUCAUAUGUACUCCACCAAAUAUGCACACAGCAUUGUAUCAACUGUUUGGAUUUUCUACAACAUGUGGACAAAAAAAUGAUGAACACCAAAAUGAAUAUGGAAUGAAUUCAAGGGGUUGAACCAAUAAACAAGGCUACUGCAGCAUGCAAUCAAGUUUAUUAUGUACAUGAACAAUAAACCUGGCAAAUGGAG
Long non-coding RNA from Zonotrichia leucophrys gambelii, 530 nucleotides. RefSeq lists it as uncharacterized. The transcript has 3 exons. The record is from RefSeq and is a predicted model, not a curated record. Lineage: Eukaryota; Metazoa; Chordata; Aves; Passeriformes; Passerellidae.